GUGUGUGUGUGUGUGUGUGUGUGUAUAUAUAUAUGUGUGUGUGUGUGUAUAUAUAUAUAUAUACACACACACACACACACACACAC
Molecule: microRNA precursor, 86 nt
Filed under: Podarcis lilfordi (Lilford's wall lizard)
Lineage: Eukaryota; Metazoa; Chordata; Lepidosauria; Squamata; Lacertidae
Source: RNAcentral